This 673-nucleotide ribosomal RNA is filed under the name Cunninghamella sp. 1 ERP-2018. Its description in RNAcentral is "eukaryotic LSU rRNA". It matches the Rfam family "Eukaryotic large subunit ribosomal RNA", at positions 69 to 637 of the family's 3401-position model. Lineage: Eukaryota; Fungi; Mucoromycota; Mucoromycetes; Mucorales; Cunninghamellaceae. The record is from RNAcentral.
ACAUGAUUCCCUCAGUAACGGCGAGUGAACAGGGAAAAGCUCAAAGUUGGAACCUGGUGGGCCUAGCCUACCCGGAUUGUAAACUAAAGUUUUUGGGUCGUUUAGUCAGCCAGAUAAAUAAGUCCUCUGGAAAGGGGCGACAUAGAGGGUGAAAUCCCCGUCUUUGGUCUGAGCAUGAUUAGGCGUUUGGCCUGGAAACGAAGAGUCAGGUUGUUUGGGAAUGCAGCCUAAAAUGGGAGGUAAAUCUCUCCUAAAGCUAAAUAUUGACGAAAGACCGAUAGCGAACAAGUACCGUGAGGGAAAGAUGAAAAGCACUUUGAAAAGAGGGUCAAAAAGUACGUGAAAUUGCUGAAAGGGAACCGUAUAAAAUCAGACUUACUGAUAGGUAAUCAACCUUCCUCUUGGGGAGGGUGCACUUGCCUGUUAUUGUAUGCCAGCAAUACUUUGGUUGGGAGGAAAAAAGUAGGAGAAAUGUAGCCUAGGCUUCGGUUUAGGUGUUAUAGUCUUUUGCAAAAUACUCUCGGCUGGAGUAAGGAACGCAGCAAACCGUAAGGCGAAGAUUUUGGGCGCUUGGAAUUAAUAGUUGGAGAAUUUCUGCUUCGGGUGGUGCUUUAGCUAUUAGUUUUAACCCGCUUAAAGUUCUUUUAAUUUGCUUAGGUUGUUGGCUUAAUGA